CGGAGACAGGUAUAAAUACGGUUGAGAAAGUAUUGAUAAAAUUCACUCAAGAAACUAAAGAAGCCUCCUCAUAUCUAAGAUUAUUACGUCAAUUUUUAAGAAAAAAAAUAUGACCGGAAAAAUUUUAAUCGUGUUGGCCGUACUGGUCGUGUUGGGUGCGGUGACUGAGACAAGUGCUCAUCCCCUCGCGAUAAUGGAUCUAGCUGACCCGGAGGCGGCUGAGGGUCAAGAUGCAAUUGAAGCUGGGGAGAUGCGUGUAAUGGAGAAGCGAUCACCAUUUAAAUGUUUUUCUUGUGGGUGAAGCCGUAAAACAGUAGCAAUUUUGAGAAUUUUAGCUCAAUUCUUGCAGAAAUUAAAAUCCCGUAAGAAAAAAAUUACUCAUAAAUUUAUAAUCUUCAAAAUUUAUUUACAUAUCUUAAUAAAUAUGUAAAAUUCUGAUACUUUGAAUUGAUGAUAACAAUUUAUAGCGAACUGUAUGUAUAAUUGGACAAUAAAUGAUUUACAUGUUUGUUAAGAAUUACGUACGCACAUAUAAAA
Molecule: long non-coding RNA, 537 nt
Organism: Folsomia candida
Lineage: Eukaryota; Metazoa; Arthropoda; Collembola; Entomobryomorpha; Isotomidae
Exons: 3
Source: RefSeq, a predicted model, not a curated record